This 157-nucleotide ribosomal RNA is filed under the name Oligophagozyma castellii. Its description in RNAcentral is "[Candida] castellii 5.8S ribosomal RNA". It matches the Rfam family "5.8S ribosomal RNA". Rfam says of the family: 5.8S ribosomal RNA (5.8S rRNA) is a component of the large subunit of the eukaryotic ribosome. It is transcribed by RNA polymerase I as part of the 45S precursor that also contains 18S and 28S rRNA. Lineage: Eukaryota; Fungi; Ascomycota; Saccharomycetes; Saccharomycetales; Saccharomycetaceae. The record is from RNAcentral.
AAAACUUUCAACAACGGAUCUCUUGGUUCUCGCAUCGAUGAAGAACGCAGCGAAAUGCGAUACGUAAUGUGAAUUGCAGAAUUCCGUGAAUCAUCGAAUCUUUGAACGCACAUUGCGCCUUUUGGUAUUCCAGGAGGCAUGCCUGUUUGAGCGUCAU